This 2772-nucleotide long non-coding RNA is filed under the name Mus musculus (house mouse). Its description in RNAcentral is "long non-coding RNA chr7:45508406-45511178". The record is from RNAcentral. Lineage: Eukaryota; Metazoa; Chordata; Mammalia; Rodentia; Muridae.
AAGGGUCUCUGAGGAUUAACCCCUCCCUCAUCAUCAUCAGCUUUGCAUCUCCUGAAAAUUGAAAAUUCCCCACAAAAGGGAGGAGAUCGAAGACAUCUGAGCUGUGUUGAGGCCCACUAAAGGGAAGCUACUUCCUUCUGGUCGACCGAGUACAAUCUGAAUUUGUCCUAAACAGCCCCAAACAUUAUAUACUAUUAAUGUCCCCUCCCUUAAGAGCCUUCGGACUAAUCCUUCAGUCAUGUGACUAAGAAUCCACUGCCCAAGAAAGCUGACUCACCUCAAGAUGUGCUAAGGGAUAGGGGGUGUGGCCAUCUUCUUAAUGAGAUAAGGUACUUCCAGGCCAGAAGCCCCUCCCUAGGGGUAGCUGAUGGCUGCUCUCCAUUGCUGAAACUGCCACUUUUUCAGAUAUCUCAUUUCAAAAGCAUAAGGCUUCCUUCCCUCCCUUUCUCUGAGUAUCACCCCAAAUCGUACGCAUGCUUAUCCCAACCCCCAGGACGCUCUCAAUUCCGCAGAACCCCAUCUGGAUACAUAGCUGCUUAACGACCCAUAGUGCUCAACGUCUCUACUUUUCCCAUGUCUCAAACAGCCUGGUUUUCUCUUCCAUCUCCCUCCUGGAACCUGCAAAAACUUACAACUUGUCUGCUCUAUUAUUUUCCUCUGAUACAAUGGUUUUCAGGCUUCAAGAUUUCACAGAGUUGAGUACUAACGCCUGGCAGGAGGCCUCGCUACACAGGAGCUGGGAACAACCUGUCUCAGGAGGUAACAACAGCUUGUAUUGCUAGGGAGAGCUACAGGAAGAACCAGGCCAUAAAUCAGGGACCUGGAGUUUGAAAGUUUGGACUCUCUGGGAGCAAAGAUUUCACAGAGCUCAAUAAUACUGGCAUGAGUAAACCAGCAGUUCCCGUGUCCUUUUCCCACUUAAACUACACUGCUCGUGAGCUCCGUGAAGCAAGAAUGCCCUGCUAGGUGGUAGCAUCCAGCUGCUGACGGUGCUACUGGGAAAUGUGGUUUUCAGGUUUUCUUCAUUCCUUGUUAAAGAGGGUCUUAACGAUCAGAGGGGAAAGUUUAGAUGAGGGUGUGACACAGGUUUUCAUUUGGGAUCUGUCUUGAUUUCCACAUCUCAAAGGUCACUGCCCCCAGGUCUGCUUGCAAGUCUCACACACUCACUAUGGCAAAGGAAGGCGGGUAAACGACACGCCUCAGCGUAUCAAACAGGGGAUCCCUUGGAGUUUUCUCCAGGGCCCUGGGGAUGGCAAGCACCACUGCAAAGACGCCAGCGACCAGGGCAGGGCUACUCACCGGGGUCUCAGUGGCCUGGCUGUCCUCCUGAGGAGGUGCUGCGCGGUCCACGGGCACUGCCAGCACAGCAGACAGCAUCAGUAGAGGUGGUAGGAGAAGAAAAGGGGCCCCGCGGGGCACCGAGGUAGGCAUCGUGGCUGGUCUGUGAGGAGAGAUGGAGAAUGAGGUUUUUUUCUUGUUUUGCUACGGUUUUCUGAGCUGUGUAUUAAGUAGCCUAAGUUGGCCUUGAAUUCCUGACCCUCCUGACUCUCCCUUCCAAGCGCUGGAAUUACAGGCGUGUAGUACUAUCCCUGGCUAAGGAUGUCCCAACCCCGUAUCCGGUUGGGGAAGCGAGUGUGCACGCCACCCGAUUUGCAAAAAUGAAGACUCCAAGCGUUUAGUCACCUGGAACCCAGGAUGCCAGGCCUCUAACAACCCCGGACGCCAGGCCUCCAGCCUCCCUUUCCUGGAGCGCAAUCCGCAGACCCUCAUUCCGGCUCCCUGAGUAGGGGAAUCCUCCCCCGAACCGUGAUUCCAGGCCCCUAACCUCCCCUUCUGCCGGGACCGCCGAGGCCUGACACUGGACAAGUAUCACGCGCUCCAGCCCCUCUUGCCCACGGCUUCUGAACCCCCCUCACCUCUCCAGUGCUGAGGGCGUUUUUUAAGGCCAGCAACCUCCGCCAGGUUUCUGGCGAUUUCUCUCCUAAGUCACGCCCACUUUUCCACCCGCAGAGAGCCCGCCCCCAGAAUACUGAUUGGUCCACGCUGACUCUGAGCUUCCGCCCGCGUUAACGGCCCCGCCCCUUUCCGAUGAGGUUUCCUUAUCUUUGAAAAUCUUUCCGGUUUUCUUGGACGCUCACAGUCUUCAACGCAACAUUUCCUGCGUCCGUUUUCAAGUAAAACUCAAAGCCCUGCAUGCCCAGGGAUUGGGGGAGGGGGUGAGACAGGACAACUUUUGCGGACAUCUUGCCGCGGUGUCUCUUGGGAGUUGUAGUUUUCUCGUUUAAUUUCGCUCCACAAGUUCCUGCAAGUGUUAGGAAACUACAUAGCAUAUGAUCAUUAUUUUUUAAACAGAGUCUCACUGCAUAUCCCUAGAUGGAGCUCUGUGUAAACCAGGAUGGCCUAGAGGUCACAGAGAUCCUUGUGCUGAGAAUAAAAGUAGGUAAUACACACAAAUGAAAGUGAAGAAGCUGCGAAUACCUGAUUCUGUCUCCUAGUUUUCCACUUGCAAUCAUAUACUUAGGUACCUUUAAAAAAAAAAAUCUUUGAAGGUAACUUUUUUGUUUGUUUGUUUUUCUUUUUUUUAAGUUAAAAAAAAAAAGAUUUAUUUAUAUGUGAGUACACUGUCUUCAGACACACCAGAAGAGGGCAACUAAUCCCAUUACAAAUGGUUGUGAGCCAUCAUGUGGUUGCUGGGAAUUGAACUCAGGUCCUCUGGAGGAGCAGUCACAGCUCUUAACCGCUGAGCCAUCUCAUCAGUCCUGAGGGUAAUUU